GGGUGAUUAGCUCAGCUGGGAGAGCACCUCCCUUACAAGGAGGGGGUCGGCGGUUCGAUCGCAGUUGACUUUUAAUCAAUUGGUCGCAGGUUCGAAUCCUGCACGACCCACCA
Molecule: transfer RNA, 113 nt
Filed under: Klebsiella pneumoniae
Lineage: Bacteria; Pseudomonadati; Pseudomonadota; Gammaproteobacteria; Enterobacterales; Enterobacteriaceae
Description: tRNA-Val
Rfam family: tRNA
About the family: Transfer RNA (tRNA) molecules are approximately 80 nucleotides in length. Their secondary structure includes four short double-helical elements and three loops (D, anti-codon, and T loops).
Source: RNAcentral